RNAcentral lists this unclassified non-coding RNA (1077 nucleotides) under Hevea brasiliensis (rubber tree). The record is from RNAcentral. Lineage: Eukaryota; Viridiplantae; Streptophyta; Magnoliopsida; Malpighiales; Euphorbiaceae.
UUUUUUUUUUUUUGUUUUAAUUUGUUAGAUGCCAUGUUUAGCAUACCCAAAUUAGUUUGAGAUCAAGACUCAAUUAGUGUUGUAUGCUGGAUGCCGUGUUUACGGAGUAAAAUUGAUACUGUGAAUGUGAGAGAGGUCAAUGAAAGAAAGGAGUGGGAGGCAUUAGCUUUGUAUGUUUGCUUCUUUGUUUCCAGGCUUUGAGAUAUUCUUGAAUUUAGAAUUUCCUCCUUUUGGUGUUGGAGGGCGGUGUUGGAGGGUGUGUGAUAAUAUUUAAGAAUAUGACCAUACCUAUGAAAAUAUCUGUAUUUUAUAAGAGUAUAAUAUACAAAAGUAUGAUCAAUUUGAUUAUAAUUUUUACAGAGUUGAUUGUUAGAUUUUUGAUACGAGGAUUGAGUAGUUGUAAGAGGCAGUUUUAAAUUGAGUAGUUUUAUCUGAAUUAAUACGAGUCUUUUAAAUAGCAGUAUCCAAUGAUGAGAGUGGAUUUUGAUGUAGUAGGGACGUUCGAAUAGCCUCAUAUUCUGAUUGAAGGGCCAUUAGAACUUGAAUGAGCCUGAGAUAUUUGAUUUCAAAUGGGUUGUAUCUGGGCAAGAAAAUUAUUCACAGAUUGACUUGUUUCAGAUUAUGAAGAUUAGUUCACAACUGAUAAUAAUGGGCAAGUUGGCAUAUGACUCAUAAUUAGCAAAUUGGAUGUGGAUGGACAAGAUACAGGUAUUGUGAAAUCAGGUGAUGAUUUUUAAUAUCUCAAUCUUUAAGACGGUCAACAAAUUUUGCAUUAGUUUCAUCGUUCUCUCUUGUCGGCGUAGUGAUAUCUCCGGUAAUAAUACGCCAAAGAUUGCGGCCUAUCAAAAAAAUUUUCAUUUCUUGAAUUCAAAGAUUAUAGUUGAAAUUAGUCAGAAUUGUUGCAUAAGUUUUGAAAUAUCAGAUUUCUCCAUUGAUAACAAGAUGAGGAGAAAAAAAAAAAUGGUAUAAUAACAGGAAUGAAAGAAUGAACCAGAAUAGGUUGUAGAGAAAGAAGAGAGACCCCAGAAACUAAAAAUAAAAGCUUUACGGCUUUGAUACCAUGUUAGAAGAAAGAAU